GCUAUACAUGCAGUCGAGCGCAGGAAGCUCACGGAACUCUUCGGAGGGAAGUGAAGGGAAUGAGCGGCGGACGGGUGAGUAACACGUAAGGAACCUGCCCCAAGGAUUGGGAUAACUCCGAGAAAUCGGAGCUAAUACCGAAUAGUUCUUCAGACCGCAUGGUCUGAUGAUGAAAGGCGCUUCGGCGUCACCUUGGGAUGGCCUUGCGGUGCAUUAGCUAGUUGGUGGGGUAACGGCCCACCAAGGCGACGAUGCAUAGCCGACCUGAGAGGGUGAUCGGCCACACUGGGACUGAGACACGGCCCAGACUCCUACGGGAGGCAGCAGUAGGGAAUCUUCCACAAUGGACGAAAGUCUGAUGGAGCAACGCCGCGUGAGUGAUGAAGGUUUUCGGAUCGUAAAACUCUGUUGUAAGGGAAGAACAAGUACGAGAGGUAAUGCUCGUACCUUGACGGUACCUUGCGAGAAAGCCACGGCUAACUACGUGCCAGCAGCCGCGGUAAUACGUAGGUGGCAAGCGUUGUCCGGAAUUAUUGGGCGUAAAGCGCGCGCAGGCGGCCUUUUAAGUCUGAUGUGAAAGCCCCCGGCUCAACCGGGGAGGGUCAUUGGAAACUGGAAGGCUUGAGUACAGAAGAGAAGAGUGGAAUUCCAUGUGUAGCGGUGAAAUGCGUAGAGAUGUGGAGGAACACCAGUGGCGAAGGCGACUCUUUGGUCUGUAACUGACGCUGAGGCGCGAAAGCGUGGGGAGCAAACAGGAUUAGAUACCCUGGUAGUCCACGCCGUAAACGAUGAGUGCUA
Molecule: ribosomal RNA, 798 nt
Filed under: Exiguobacterium undae
Lineage: Bacteria; Bacillati; Bacillota; Bacilli; Caryophanales
Description: bacterial SSU rRNA
Rfam family: Bacterial small subunit ribosomal RNA
Source: RNAcentral